GAGAGUUUUCUUUUCAUAAGUCCUAACGUAUCACCACCAUAUAAUGCAUAUAUAUGGUUUGAGAAGAGAGUUAAAGAGAGAGAAAUGAUCCCUAUGCCUUCUCCGGAGACUCAUCAUCACUUCAUUUUCGAUCGAUCGAAGGAUGUUGAAGAACAAGUGAAGCGCAUAGAUCAGUACAGCUUAUACAUGCUGGCAAAUGAUUGAUGAAGAUCAGAGAAAUAUCAAUCUGGAUUUACUAGUUGAUGCAUGGUAUUGGGUUUGGGUUUGAGUAUGAUGACAUCUCUUUUCUUAAGGUUGCUUUGAAGAAAAGGAUGGGAGAUGCCCAUGCCUUGAGUCUGGAGGCAAGUAAAUGAUCACCAGUUCCCCCUUUCAAAACUUCAAUCUCUUCGUCGUUAAACACGAAUACUGUUACAUGAAUCCAUCUUUUAUUUUUUAUACAAAAACUCAGGGGUUUCUUUCAUCGUUUAUGCUUUUAUUAUCUGUAGUGUAUAGCUAGGGAAUCCCCAAAAAGAUAGAAAGAAAAGCAUCUAGGCAAAAGAUUAAUUAUAUCGUUUGCAUGUUUUAACAGAAACCCAUAUGUUCAGAUCAGCUGUAUAGAUGUUAAUAUAUGUGAUACAUCUGUGUUUAUGCUUCUAUGCAUCAGUUGCAAAUUCUAAUGUUUAGGAUAGUCACAUUGUGUUAUAUUCUUCUGAAGACGCUGAUGUUUCAUAUCACAAAUCAUUGGAUAUAAAUAUGUCUAAUGUAAAAAGAAAUGUCUAAUGUAAUGCUCACAAGGUUUACCCUUGUAAACGUACUUAUAGAAAAUUCA
Raphanus sativus (radish) is the source of this 808-nucleotide long non-coding RNA. RefSeq lists it as uncharacterized. NCBI's taxonomy places the organism in Eukaryota, Viridiplantae, Streptophyta, Magnoliopsida, Brassicales, Brassicaceae. The transcript has 2 exons. The record is from RefSeq and is a predicted model, not a curated record.